Molecule: small nuclear RNA, 105 nt
Organism: Sorex fumeus (smoky shrew)
Lineage: Eukaryota; Metazoa; Chordata; Mammalia; Eulipotyphla; Soricidae
Source: RefSeq, a predicted model, not a curated record
UUGCUUUUUAGCAGUAUAUAAACUAAAAUUGCAACAAUACAGAGAAUAUUGGCCUGUCCUCUGUGCAAGGAUGACACACAUAUUUGUGAAGCAUUCUGGUUUUAG